RNAcentral lists this ribosomal RNA (494 nucleotides) under uncultured bacterium. Its description in RNAcentral is "bacterial SSU rRNA". It matches the Rfam family "Bacterial small subunit ribosomal RNA", at positions 9 to 485 of the family's 1533-position model. The record is from RNAcentral.
GAGUUUGAUCCUGGCUCAGGAUGAACGCUGGCGGCGUGCCUAAUACAUGCAAAUCGAGCGAACAGAUAAGGAGCUUGCUCCUUUGACGUUAGCGGCGGACGGGUGAGUAACACGUGGGUAACCUACCUAUAAGACUGGAAUAACUCCGGGAAACCGGGGCUAAUGCCGGAUAACAUUUAGAACCGCAUGGUUCUAAAGUAAAAGAUGGUUUUGCUAUCACUUAUAGAUGGACCCGCGCCGUAUUAGCUAGUUGGUAAGGUAACGGCUUACCAAGGCAACGAUACGUAGCCGACCUGAGAGGGUGAUCGGCCACACUGGAACUGAGACACGGUCCAGACUCCUACGGGAGGCAGCAGUAGGGAAUCUUCCGCAAUGGGCGAAAGCCUGACGGAGCAACGCCGCGUGAGUGAUGAAGGUCUUCGGAUCGUAAAACUCUGUUAUUAGGGAAGAACAAAUGUGUAAGUAACUGUGCACGUCUUGACGGUACCUAAUCA